This 376-nucleotide long non-coding RNA is filed under the name Olea europaea (common olive). RNAcentral describes it as "long non-coding RNA (OEUR_LNC013375)". Lineage: Eukaryota; Viridiplantae; Streptophyta; Magnoliopsida; Lamiales; Oleaceae. The record is from RNAcentral.
CAUGGUCAAGAUGAGGUGCUACGAUCUGCUGCAGCUUAUUUCUUGAAGUUAUUAGCCUUUCAACUCCCAAAGGCAUCUUCUUAUCUUUGCCUCUUCCAAGAGAUCUUUUGUACAAAAUAUUAUGAGAUAUGGUUGAUGUAAUAUUUAUGUAGAACUUGCCUCUUAAUCAACUUGUCAGUCUACUUUUCAGAUGACAGACCUAGGCUAUAGGGCCGUCACUUUUAAAAAUCAUUAAAUGCUCUUUGAAACUAGGAUUGUAGAAGUGACAUCUAGGAUUGAUGCGUUAGAUGUUAAGAUGAGAACAAAAGUUUUCAUAUAACAAAUGUAAAAUCUCAUAUUUAGUAUCAUUUGAAGGUAAUGGAACUUUAUACUCUCG